UGCCCCGUGGCUUAGUUGGUUACGGCGUCCGACUGUUAAUUGUAGUUGGCAUCGGAAGAUCGAGAGUUCAAGUCUCUCCGGGGCAG
RNAcentral lists this transfer RNA (86 nucleotides) under Pleurotus eryngii. It matches the Rfam family "tRNA". From Rfam's summary of the family: Transfer RNA (tRNA) molecules are approximately 80 nucleotides in length. The record is from Rfam by way of RNAcentral. Lineage: Eukaryota; Fungi; Basidiomycota; Agaricomycetes; Agaricales; Pleurotaceae.